GCCGGGGUAGCUCAGCCUGGUAGAGCGCCGGGCUGUUAACCCGGUGGUCGUGGGUUCAAAUCCCACCCCCGGCGCCA
RNAcentral lists this transfer RNA (77 nucleotides) under Thermoprotei archaeon. RNAcentral describes it as "tRNA-Asn". It matches the Rfam family "tRNA". From Rfam's summary of the family: Transfer RNA (tRNA) molecules are approximately 80 nucleotides in length. Their secondary structure includes four short double-helical elements and three loops (D, anti-codon, and T loops). The record is from RNAcentral. Lineage: Archaea; Thermoproteati; Thermoproteota; Thermoprotei.